AUAAACAAAAGGUGUAAAAUGAUUAUAAUAAAUAAUUUUAAAUAGAUUAUUAAUUAUCAUAUUCAUUAUUAUUAAAUAAUUUAAUUAAAUUAUUAACAAAUAUAAUAUAAUAAAAAAAAUGAAUGGACUUGAGCUUAAUUCAUUUAAAUCUUACGAUUCGAUUCAAAUAUUUGAAUAAAAUGUAAAUGUAAAAAAAAAAGAUUAAAUCAUAAAGAUCUACAAUUUAAUUGUUACGAUUUUUACAAGCUAACCCAAUUAUUAAAACAGAAAUCACAUCAUAAUAUUUUGAUUAUACUCGUCAUAUAUAGUUUUAUUUUUAAAGUAAGAAAUUAAUUGGAAUGAGAUAUAAUCUAUUUUUGUUAAAGUAAACAUCAUCCAUAUUUUUAAAUAAUUAUCUUAUGAUAAAAUAAUCAAUAAUUUUAAUAAUUCUUGUUAACAAUUGAGGUUAAUCGAUUUAAAUUAAUUGAAAUGAGUUAUAAUCAUAUUUUUUAAAUAAACAUCUUAUUUUAUUUUUCACUCGAAUUUUUCACACUAUCGAUUUUAAUAACAUAAGUGAGUUUGUAUUAAGUCAACGCGUUUGUUUAUAUAUUUAAUUGAUUCAAUACUUUAUAUUUUUCAAUAGUGGAGAUUAUAUUGAUUUAAUAAUUAAUAGAUAUUUUGAAGUAUUGAAUCGUGAUUCUAUAUAUUUUUUUAAAAGUUUCUUAUAUUGCAUUUAUUAAUAACUAGUAAUUGUACCCGUGCGAUGCACGGGACAACAAAUUGCAUUGUUUUGAUGUUGUAAGAAUAUAAACAAACGUUUGAUGUAUCGUAUGAUCAAAAUUCUAUUAUACUGGAACAUCAUUAAAUAUACUACACACAAAAAAAAGGAAAUAACUUUACUGUUGAAUAAUUUUCCAAAUGAUUUGAAUCAGCUAUUACCAGUAGAUUGAAAAUUUGAACCAGGAAAAAAAUCAUCAACUAUGUCUUUCAUGUUGAGCUUAAAAGUAAUUAGAUUUAAUAACUUAGUUAACAUAAUCAAAACUAAACUAUCGACAACAUAAAAGACCAUCUAUACAUCUUGCAUCGAAACUAAGCCCUUCUCCACUGCCUCAUUUUUAGGCCGUUUUGCCACUGGAAUUAACAAUUGGAAAAUUAAGAAACAAAAAUAAAUAUAAACAAUAAAUUAAAUAUCGCAUACAAACAAUAAGUCUUGAAGGUCGACUUCCAAUAGCUUGUGGCUCCGCCCAUUUUUGGUUAAUUCUCUCAAAUCAUCCAUUUCAAUAACAUGUCCAAUAACAUAUAAAAUGAAAUAAUUGCUAUACAUAAAAUUUGAAAACUUUGGUAUAAAUUAAUGAGAUAAAAGUUGAUAAAAUACGAAAAUAAUAAUUAGAAUAAUAUUUAGGAGAUAAAAUAUGAUUAAAAUAAAAAUUAUUAUUUAAAAUAAUAUUUAGGAGAUAAAAAUUUGAUAGAAAUCGAAAAUAAUAUUUAGGAGACAAUAAUCUGAUAAAAAACAAAAUUAAUAUUUAGGAGAUAAAAAACUAAUGAAAACAUGAUAAAACUCGAAAAAAAUAUUUAAAAUAUUAUUUAGGAGAUAUAACUUUGAUAAAAUUCAAAAAUAAUAUUUAGGACAUAAAAAUCUGCUAAAAGUUGAAAAUUAUAUUUAAAAUUAUAGUUAGGAGAUAUAAAAUUGAUAAAAUUAAAAAAAAUAUUAUUUAUAAUAAUAUUUAGGAGAUAAAAAUUUGAUAAAAAUAAAAAAUAAUAUUAAGGAGACAAAAAUCUGAUAAAAAUAAAAAAUAAUAUUUAAAAUAAUAUUUAGGGGAUACAAAUAUGAUAAAAUUCGAAAAUAAUAUUUAAAAUAAUAUUAAGGAGAUAAAAAUUUGAUAAAAAUUGAAAAACAAUUACAAAUAUGACAUUAGGGUUUCUUAGGGUUGCCCUAGCGUUUCUUUCUUUUAUAUAUAAGAUUUAAUUAAAAUUAUUUAAUAACAAUUAAUAUGAAAAUUAAUAAUUUAUUUAACAUAUUUAUCAUUUUACACCAAAGUUUUAUAUUAUAUAUAUUUAUUCUCUACACCAGAGUUUCACAGGUUCGAACCCCCUAAUGUGCUUUUUUUGUACAAAAAAAACCGGUUUAAUACCCGGGUCCCGGGUCGGGUCCUCGGGCCGAGUCCCACGGGUGGACUCGACGGGUCUCGGAUCCUGGAAUUGGGGACCCGAAACCGACCCGGGCUUGGUCGAGUCCGGUCCGGGUCCAUGAUCAACGGGGCGGGGCCGGGUCAGGGCGGGGCGGUCUUCGGAAGGAAGGUAAGCAUGCGAGAAUUCUUUGCAUACCUAAUUCAGAAACGGCAUGGAGAACCUUCGUUACUUUUGCAUUCCAAGAAGUUAUUUCAGCAAUUCUGUGUUGAUGGAUUUUCGAUGGUUGAGUCACAGAGGUUGAAUUUCAUAAGGUUCAUAGGGUUGACAUGUACAAGGGUAUCUAAGAAAAGAUUUUUAAAGGAGACACUGAGGGUAAAUCGGUUGGACAACGCAUUAUAAUUCCAGGGUCGUUCACCGCAGGUCCAAGGUAUAUGUUUAACAACUUCGUUGAUGCUCUUCAAAUAUGUAACUGGAUUGGAUUUGCAACCCUUUUCAUCACUAUCACAUGCAAUCCCCAAUGGCCAGAAAUACAAAGGGUAUUAAAAGAUUCAAAUCUCAGGCCGGAGGAUCGGCCAGACAUUCUGUGUCGUGUGUUCAAAAUGAAGCUCGAUAGUAUGAUGACGGAAAUCAAGAAGGGCCGUAUAUUUGGACGUAUUAGAGCAUGUGAGUAUUUAAUUAGAUAUCCAUUUAUAAUUAAACAUUUAAUACGUUUAUAUAAAUUAGAUAAUUUAGUCAUGUGCGAUUUUAACUACUUUUUGCUUCAUUAAUUAAAUUAAUUCAUAUUUUUUAAUACCGUAUGUUUACAUUUUUUAUGCAGAUGUAUGCACAAUUGAAUUUCAGAAACGAGGUCUACCGCAUGCACAUAGUUUAUUGUGGUUGCAUAAUGACGACAAGCCCAAGAAUCCAGAAGAAAUUGACAGGAUCAUAUGUGCUGAAAUUCCUAACGAAGAAAACGACAGAAAGAUGUACCAGUUGGUGGAGAAGUAUAUGAUACAUGGAACGUCCGGUCAGGCGAAUUUGAAAUCUCCAUGUAUGAAAGAUAGAGUUUGCACGAAGCGAUUUCCAAAGACGUUUGUGCAACGCACUGAAUCAGAUGCAGAUGAGUUUAAAGUGUAUAGGAGAAGGGAAGAUGGCAGAACAGUUACGAAGAAGAAGACUACUCUUGAUAAUGGGUUUGUGGUCCCCUACAAUCGUAUAUUGUUGAGUAAAUACCGAGCUCACAUUAAUAUCGAGCUAUGCAACCAAAACAAGUCAAUUAAAUACCUGUUCAAAUACGUAAACAAGGGGCAUGACCGAGUCACAACGGCAUUUUAUGAGACACGCAAUACAGAUGGCGGUGCUAAGAUUUGUGAUGAGAUAAAGAUGUACUACGACUGCAGAUAUCUUUCGGCGUGUGAGGCAAUAUGGAGGUUGUUUAACUUUGAUAUUCAUUACAGAGACCCGUCCGUAAUUAGGCUAAGCUUUCAUCUCCCCGAUCAUCAGCCACUUGUCUUCAAUGAAAACCAGUCGUUACAAAGUGUGUUGGAUAGGCCAUCUGCCAAGCAAAGAAAACAUAUUGGUGUUAGAUGAAUUGGAUUACGACCGGUUUGAAAUGGGUAGAGAACUUCAACAAUGUCUUGCUUCCAUUACAGAUGAGCAAAGAAAGGUUUAUGAUGUAGUCAUGGAUGUUGUAACCAAUGACAGUGGUGGAAUGUUCUUUCUAUAUGGCCAUGGUGGAACGGGAAAGACGCUUCUAUGGAAAACUCUUUCGGCUGCAGUUCGUUCGAAGGGAGAGAUUGUAAUUAACGUUGCAUCGAGUUGUAUAGCAUCGUUAUUGCUCCCCGGUAGAAGAACAACUCAUUCUUGAUUCGGACUACCCAUAAAUGUACAUGAGAGUUCCACCUGCAGCAUAUCGCAACAAAGUCCACAGGCAGAGUUGCUCAUAAGGGCAAAGCUUAUUAUAUGGGACGAGGCUCCUAUGAUGCAUAGAUACUGUUUUGAAGCCCUUGACAAGACAAUGAAGUCAAUAUUACAGGCUGACAAACACUUUGGUGGUAAGGUGGUUGUUCUUGGAGGUGAUUUUAGGCAGAUUUUACCAGUUGUGCUCAAAGCAUCAAGGUAGGACAUAGUACAUGCUACGAUAAACUCCUCUCCGCUGUGGAAUUUAUGUCGUGUCAUGAAGUUGACUGAGAACAUGAGAUUGCAGCCAUGUUCUUCUCUAUCUAAUGUGGAUGAGAUAAAAGAAUUUGGAGACUAGAUACUGAAUGUUGGUAAUGGGGAUGUUGGGGAGGACAAUGAUGGUGAAGCUUCAAUAGAGACUCCAGAUGACAUGUUGAUUGGUGAUUCAGAAGAUCCAUUCAGAGACCUACUCGAAUUCGUUUACCCGGAUUUGUUGAGUAACAUUUACGAUCGAGAUUAUUUUCAAGGGAGGGCAAUUCUUGCACCAACUAAUGAAUGCAUCGAGUCUGUGAACGAUCACUUAAUGUCUCUCCUUCCAGGAGACGAGAAGGUGUACCUGAGCUCAGAUAGUAUGUGUAGGGACGAGCACACAACGGAGGAUAAUGCAGAAAUUUAUUCGACUGAAUUCCUCAACACAAUAAGAUGCUCUGGAGUUCCUUCUCAUGCGUUGAGGAUCAAGGUUGGUGCACCCGUUAUGCUAAUAAGAAACAUCGAUCAAGCUAGAGGAUUAUGCAAUAGUACCAGACUUCAAAUUAUUAGAACUGGCAUUCACGUUCUGAGUUGCAAAAUUCUUCCCGAAAAAAAAUCGUUGACAUGGUGUUCAUUCCUCGGAUGACUUUAAUACCAUCUAACUCCGGACUGCCAAUUAAAUUUCAGAGAAGACAAUUUCCGUUGAUUGUUUCUUUUGCAAUGACGAUAAAUAAAAGCCAAGGCAGAACUCUUUCGCAUGUUGGUUUGUAUCUUCCUAGGCCUGUCUUCAGCCAUGGUCAACUAUAUAUUGCAGUGUCCAGAGUUAAGAGCAGAGGUGGCAUUAAGAUAUUCAUCAAGUCGGAUUCGGGUGAACUCACCAAUGUUACUAGAAAUAUCGUGUACAAGGAAGUAUUUCAUCGAAUUUGAAGGUAGAAAAUAUUUUCAUAUUUAUCAUUUAUUCAUGUGACAUGUUUUUUAUUUUAUUUUUAAAGAACUUAUUCUUUUGCAUGUGUUUCUUAUCUAUAUAUUUUCCUCGGUGCGAUGUUAUUUUCAGUCAUUUUCCUAGAGUGCUCGGUGCAAUUUUUAUUAUCUUUAAAAUUUAUUUUUGACGAUAUACUAAUAUUUAAUAGUAUUCUUAUAUUAUAACUAUGAAGAACAUGAAACUUAUAACAUAUUUUUAUUAUCGUUGGUCGAUUACGUUAUGUACUUAGAUUCAGUGACCGUAAUAAUUGUUAUCUGCUUAAAUUUAUUUUUGAGACAUGUAUUUUCAGUAAAAAAUAUGUCGCCCCGUGCAUCGCACGGGUGAAUACUAGUAACAUAUAAAAUGAAAUAAUUGCUAUACAUAAAAUUUGAAAACUUUGGUAUAAAUUAAUGAGAUAAAAGUUGAUAAAAUACGAAAAUAAUAAUUAGAAUAAUAUUUAGGAGAUAAAAUAUUAUUAAAAUAAAAAUUAUUAUUUAAAAUAAUAUUUAGGAGAUAAAAAUUUGAUAGAAAUCGAAAAUAAUAUUUAGGAGACAAUAAUCUGAUAAAAAACAAAAUUAAUAUUUAGGAGAUAAAAAACUAAUGAAAACAUGAUAAAACUCGAAAAAAAUAUUUAAAAUAUUAUUUAGGAGAUAUAACUUUGAUAAAAUUCAAAAAUAAUAUUUAGGACAUAAAAAUCUGCUAAAAGUUGAAAAUUAUAUUUAAAAUUAUAGUUAGGAGAUAUAAAAUUGAUAAAAUUAAAAAAAAUAUUAUUUAUAAUAAUAUUUAGGAGAUAAAAAUUUGAUAAAAAUAAAAAAUAAUAUUAAGGAGACAAAAAUCUGAUAAAAAUAAAAAAUAAUAUUUAAAAUAAUAUUUAGGGGAUACAAAUAUGAUAAAAUUCGAAAAUAAUAUUUAAAAUAAUAUUAAGGAGAUAAAAAUUUGAUAAAAAUUGAAAAACAAUUACAAAUAUGACAUUAGGGUUUCUUAGGGUUGCCCUAGCGUUUCUUUCUUUUAUAUAUAAGAUUUAAUUAAAAUUAUUUAAUAACAAUUAAUAUGAAAAUUAAUAAUUUAUUUAACAUAUUUAUCAUUUUACACCAAAGUUUUAUAUUAUAUAUAUUUAUUCUCUACACCAGAGUUUCACAGGUUCGAACCCCCUAAUGUGCUUUUUUUGUACAAAAAAAACCGGUUUAAUACCCGGGUCCCGGGUCGGGUCCUCGGGCCGAGUCCCACGGGUGGACCCGACGGGUCUCGGAUCCUGGAAUUGGGGACCCGAAACCGACCCGGGCUUGGUCGAGUCCGGUCCGGGUCCAUGAUCAACGGGGCGGGGCCGAGUCAGGGCGGGGCGGUCUUCGGAAGGAAGGUAAGCAUGCGAGAAUUCUUUGCAUACCUAAUUCAGAAACGGCAUGGAGAACCUUCGUUACUUUUGAAUUAAAAAACAAAUUGACUUAUUGUAAGUGGACAUGUUGGGGAUUUUUGUCAAAUAAUCCCAUCUAUUUUAUAUAGCCCACGGACACAUAAGAGAGCCCAAAUAUUCAGCAAAACAGUCAAAAAGUCAAAAUCACAAAACAAAGGGGCGACUGAAAUUCAAGAAACGUGUGGAAAAUAAUUAAAAAAAGAAUAAAAUAUUAAUAUCCGUAACCGACAAGGAUAAGUACUCCUUUCUGACCCUCCGAUGAGAUUAAUCAUAACCGUCCACUCAUCACCGACUCUUCUAUAAAUACCCAUCCCCUCAUUCCUUCUACUCCCGUCUUUUAUUGGUUCAAUCGCCUUUGGUUCUCUGCGAAUUGGAAUUUGGUUUGAAUAUUGAUUCUGUUUAUUUGUCGUCUCCAUUUUUUUUUUGAUUAUAUGUAUAUCAUCGUCGCUAUGAAACCUGCGCAAUUCAAUUCAACCGGCUGCGAUUAUCCGUCGUAUGUUUUUUCUCUUUCGUGGUACCGUGUGAUCGUGGUCCUGAUUUAAUUUUAUUUGGGUAAUUUUGCCGGUCUGAUAAUCAGAUCGUCAUGGAUUCGCCGGCGUAUAUUUGCGAGGCCGUCUGAUUGUGAUUCUGAAUUGGUUUUAUUUUGGUGAUUUUGAUCGGGCGAGGUAUUAGGUAUGGUUUUCGGUUAUGCAUUAACAAGUGGUUUAUUAUCAUGGGUUUUGCGUUUGGAUUGUGUUUUCUCUUGCCAGGGUUUGGUAAUCGACUGAUUUGAUUUUUGCUCCACCUGGUUUGAACAUGAUUCUUUGUAGAAGAAAGAGCUUCGAAUUUGAGUAUGUUCUCCCCUCGUUGUCAUAAUUGUGUUUAUAUGACUAUUUGUUGUUCAGAUAAGAUGUUUUGGCUAAUGAUUCUAAGCAGAGUGUCUGGUAAAGUUUCUUUCGAUUUACAUAUACGAGUCUCUCCACCAGGUUCUCCUUAUGAUAUAUAUGCGCACAAUUUGAUAUUCGUUGACCUUCGACCGUUGCUUUUGACUGUGUUGUGGUAAUAAAGUAGGAACUCAGCUCUGAAACACCUCUCAGUUCCGGAUAUUGUUCAAUCUUGCUUUCGACCGUUGCUUUGGACCUCCUUAUUUCUCUAACUUUAAAUCACAAUUUCUUUUACUGCGUCUUUGAAAUCCCUUUGCUGUUUUACAGCUUUAUUUUGGUGGUGAUCCUACUAUUUGGUACUUUCUGUUUUGUGGUUUUAGGAAAUGUUUCAUCUUUAUUUUAUGGAGCUAAGCUAACUGUGCAACUACAACGAUUGAUCUCAUUUUACUAUAGCUUACGCUCACCUGGAUAAUGUGGAUAGGAGCUCAUGUACACCUGGAUUAUGUGGAUAGGAUCGCCAAUUGCUUAAGAUAGAGAUCUCGAUUGGAUCUGAUGACAGGAAGAUAAUUUAUUUUGUGAUUUAAUUAGCUUAUGGAUCUUUCUUUUGUUUCUGAUUGUGUAAUAUGUUGAUGAGUGGGUUUUUGUCAGUUCCAGAUUGUAUAUUCUUAUGUAAUCAUCAUCCUUCUCAUUCAAUUUUCAAAUAUAACCAUAUGUUUUCAAAUCUAUUUGGGUGAUUUUGAUAUGGCAUGUGGUAUGAUGUUUGCUUAUGGGCCACUAUUUUGUCUAUUUUCCGAUUGUGUGGGUGGCAUAGACUUCGAAGGAAAUGGUUAAAAUAUGAUUUUCUCCUUAUCCUGGUUGUGCUUCUCCUCUCGAAAAUUGAUGGUGGAUGUCCUACCAUGGUAACUUUUGUUUGUGUAUUUUAGGGGGUCUGCGGUAGUUCCAUCUUUGGACAGGAUAACCCAUUGCUUCAGCAGAAGAUGGAUUAGUGCAGUUGGAUCUGAGAUUGAGUCUUAUUAACGGACGACAUAAUGUGGAAGAUAAUUUAAUUUCUGAUUUAUUUAUCUCAUGAAAAUUUUCUUGCUUCUUAGUGAGAUGCGUCUCCGGUUCUUUGAGAGAGUAUUUUCUAAUGUCUCCCUCAACCAUCACCUUUUCGUCCAAUUUUCAUAUUACUACUUUAUACGGUCUUAUUGCUUUCAAAUCCUCUGUUCUUUUCCUUUCUGUCUGCAGACAUUUGCAACAAAAAUGACGGUGGGCCUUCUCUUUUGGGUUUUAAAGAAAUUUUUGCUAGUUCCAUCUGCAUUACUCUGGCCUAUUGACUAAGCGGGAAGAUAAAUUAAUUUUGUGGCUUAAGGGAAGUGUCGUAGUUCAAUUUUACUAUCUGAAACUACAUGUUCUAUGGGAAUGAUGAAUCUGAUUUUACUAUUUCUUGAGCAAACCGUUGGAAAAUGAGCUUCAGAGUCUCUUAUGUAAAGCUACAGAUGUGAUGGAUACUUAAUGGUGAAGAUAAUCUAACUUGUUUUUAUCUAAAUGCCUUUCUGUUUGUGGUUCUGAUUUGGGUGGUUUUGCUGGUCUUACAGUCUAAUUAUCGGGAGCCUCUGUUAUAUGUUUCUUUUAUCUGUUGUACUGUUUAGGUCUUCUCUGAAUGAUAAUUGACCCGGCAAGGUAUUUAUGAUGUUUGCUUAUGCAAUUUAAUCUCCUGUGGUUUGGAUUUGGUUCAUGCUUUCCCAUCCUGGUCUGGUUGUUGGCUGGGGUUGGAUUUGUUUUCUGGGCGGUCAUAGGAUUUCUGGAAAAGGAAAGUGUUUCGAGCUUUGAGCAUAUCUCCGUCUUUUCGUAAAAUUUGCGUGUAUGACAAUUUCAUGUUAUGUUUUGAGAAGUUCGGUUGCUACAUAUGAUGGUUUGGACUGUGUUGAUCAUCGAGUGGUGGUGAGUACGAUAGUGAUGCUUAGUUAUAUAUUCUUAUGAAUCCCUCCAUAAUCUAUUCUUAUCGGAAGUCCGGUCUGAGUUUUUAGAGUCUUAUCGGAAGCUACUUGGGUCUGAGUUUUUGAGUUCUUCGGCGACUUUCUUGCUUGGGAUUCUAACUUUGGAUAGUCUGCAUAUGUUAUUACAAGACAAAAACACACAUAUUAUGGAGAUGUGAUGUCUAAAGAAAAUGUAGAUAAAUCGCAGAGAAGCUUAUAAAGAUUGACACAAACGUAAUAAAAUCUCACCUGGAUGACAGACAAGAAAAACGUGGGCCCCACCAACCUCACCGAGCCGCUUUUCUACUUGCAUGGCAUGCUGAAGGCAGAACACAUGCAAUCGAGAAGAACGUUCGUCGGAUCUUGAUGAAAACAGGUUUUCAUAGUCGAUUCCUCUAAUGGCGUUGAACCAUUGUUUGCUCCAGUCUUACGGGUUAAAGAAUUUGAGGUCUCGUUCCACGAUUCCAUUUGACGUCUAAACCUAUCGGUUAAAGAAUUCUUCGACUCGGCCAUGUUACAAUUUUUGGAUUCUCCGUUCUCGUGUGUGUCUAUAGGUAGGCUGAAUUUUGUAUUAGAAUCAGACAUUCGUAAAUCAGUGUCAUUUUCAGGGCUAUCGAUUUUACAAUUUCCACCGCCUUGGAAAGAAAUAUCAGCAGCUUCAUUCUCGUCCACCUCUUCAGAGUCUGACGAAUCGGCAUUUGUUAAAGCUAAUAGGCCAAGUGACGAGGGCGCUUUUUGUGCCUUUUCGGAAACCACACCUACACUGUUUUCUUUUUCCACCGAUAAUGGGGCGUCAAAAACACGUCCACUGUGUGUCUUUCUAAGCAUCAAAGCUGCAAAAUCGAGACUUCCAAUCGUAAGUAAAGCCAUAUCAUUUUAUCCUAUAUAUAUGAAAGCAAAAAGAUUUCACAACGAAAUAUACCUGAAGAAGAAGAAAGCUUUGCGUUUAUAGCCUUUGCGUCUCUGAUGUCAUUGUGUUCAUUAUCACUUCCCAAAAAUUAAAUAUGCUGCAAUCACCCGACAUUAUGUAACGAGCAGCUGCUUCUGUAGGCUGAACAAUAGCAACACACGCAAAACACAAAAUCCCACAAGUUACACACGAAAACAGCCCAUGCUCAGAAUUAUGACAAGCUUUCUUUAUUUCCCGAUCCAUACAUGGAACCUCCUCACUAUUACGAAAAUGCCCCUUUGUUUGCUUCAUGCCUUGCUUACUGCUUAAAAUGAAUUCAUCGGGGGCACUAUUAUCGUUGCUUGUGGUCUUCGUCUCGAGAUCUAAUUGAUGAUUUAUUUACCUUCUGUGUUUUUUACCCGUCUGUUUCAUUUUGUCUUAACUUUGCAUGCAGUUGGAUUUGAGGUUCAGAGUCUUAGCUACUGAUUGGAUCACGACAUAGUGGGGAAGUUGAUGUAUUUUGUGAUUUGUUUAUUAAAUGCAGUUGGAUCUGAGUUUAAAGUCUUGUUUAAAGCCACCAAUGGGAUCAAGGCACAAUGGAGAAGACAACGAAUUUGUGAUUUAUUUAUUUCAUUUUAUCUUGUGCUUUCUGAUCUGUCCUUGAUUUCUAUUCUCUGCUUUAAAGAGACGUAUGUUUACUUACCGUUUGCAUUUUAAUGCUUCUUGUGUAAGUGGACUCAUCCAGGUUCAGGUAAUCUGUUCGUCCUUCUUACUGUUGAUUUUAGUUAUUUUUUUGUCUGAUCACUAUGUUUUUUUCUGGCUAAUGGGACUUGCUUGCCUUUUUUGCAGAACCGGUUGUAGUGGUAAAAUAGGCUGAAUUGGAAUGUAUGAUUGUGUAUUAAAACCCUGGCAAUCUGUCUUUGCUGUUGAGAAUAAUUUCAGUUUGUCUCGAUAUUUGCUCGAUGUGGUUUGUGUUACAAAGCUUUCGAAUUUGGAAAAUUCCACAAGUAUGUUCUACUUCCCUGCAUUGAGUUUAUGUUCUUCCGGUUUUUGGGUUUGCUCACCUUUUUUUGCAGAACCUAGAUGGGAUUGGCCCUAUCAUAUGAUUACGGCUCUCCAUCGAUUCUCCAUCAUCACUUCAUUAACCAGCAUACUUGGUGGAGGUGAAAUUCGGUGUGUAUUAUAUUUUCAGGCCUUUUAAGGGUGUUAUCUCAGCUUACCUCUUCUUAAUGGAUUGCCAAGACUCGUUUAAUUGAACAUCCUCCAAUUCUGUAGUGAUUUCUGUUGUCGGCAGUUUGUUCGUCGGAGUUCCUGGGUUGUGUUUUAUAAGUCACGACGGUAACCUUAUGAUACGCUCACACUAAGGAUAAAAUUCCAUUUCUCCCUCUCCCACUCUCUCUUUUUUUCUCUCUCUCCAUUUCUCUCUCUUUUUUUCUCUCUCUCCAUUUCUCUCUCUCUCUCUCUCUUCUCUUUCUUUCUCUCUCUUCAUCUCUCUCUCUAUUCUCUUUCUUUCUUUCUCUUCAUCUCUCUCUCUAACUCUCUCUCUCUCUCUGUGGCUACCCAGAGUCCUCCGCCGUCGCGGCUGCUCCCCACCUUGCGCCGCGGCGGCGGCGGCGGAGGGCUGUGGGCAGCCACAGAGAGAGAGAGUUAGAGAGAGAGAUGAAGAGAGAGAAAGAAAGAGAAGAGAGAGCUAUUUUAAUUUGUCUAGGGGUCUAUCAAAUUAAGAUUAGAAUUUGGGUUUUUACUAGGAAAGAAAAAUUCAUAGGACCUAUCCCUAUAUAUUUUCAAAACUAGGGAGGUAUCCUACAUUUCCCCUUUAUAUUAUUGGUAGUGUAAGUUUUAUUAUUAUUGUUAUUACCCGAAAUGGCUAAUUUCAAUCCAAUGCAAUCAAAAGAUAAUUUUAUCAUCAAAUGUAUUUUAAAUUUGUCAAAUAUCAACUAAAAUAUUAUUAUUUAAUUAAUUUUAGUAUCAUAGGUUUUAGUUGACUUUCCAGAUGGAUUCUUAAUUUGUCGAAUUACUAAGAUAUAAAACAUAAUAUAAUUAUUUAAUUAUGGGCAAAUAAGUGAUACUCCUUAUAUUUGAAAAUAUAUAUGAGAAGGUCUUAUUGAAUUUUUCUGUCCUAGUUAAAAACCCAAAUUUUAGUUUUAACUAGGCAGACCCCCGGACAAAUUAAAGUAUCUAUUUCGCCAUUUUAGUUUCAAUUCAAUACAUGCCCUAACCCCUUAACCUUCUCUCUCUUCCACUCGCACGUCUCACACCCACACCGUCGUUUACAUCUCUCCCUCGUCUCUUCGUCUCUCCCUCUCCCUCGUCUAUUUCGGGAGCCUCUGUUGUAUGUUUCUUUUCUCUAUGGUACUGUCUAGGUCUUCUUUGAAUGAUAAUUGAUCCAGCAAGGUCUUUAUGAAAUUUGGUUAUGGAGUGAUUUGCAAUUUAAUAUGCCGUGGUUUGGAUUUUGUUCAUGCUUUCCCAUCCUGGUCUGGUUGUUGGCUGGUUUAAUUUGUUUUCUGAGCGGUCGUAGGAUUUCUGGAAAAGGGACGUGUUUCGAGCUUUGAGCGUUUCUCCGUCUUUUCGUGAAUUUACGUAUAUGACAAUUUCAUGUUAUGGUUUGAGAAGUUCGGUUGCUACAUAUGACGGUUUGGGCUGUGUUGACCAUCGAGUGGUGGUGAGUAUGUUUGUGAUGCUAAGUUAUAUAUUCUUAUGAAUCCCUCCAUAAUCUAUUUCAAAUCCUAUUUCGUUUUUCGUUUCUAAUUUCAGAAACUUGCAACAAAAAUGAAUGUGGUCGUUCAACCCUUUGGUACCUUUGAUUUGUUGUCUUUAGGAAGUUGUGCUAGCUUCAUCUUUAUUUUCUAAAGCUAACUACUGGAGUGAUGAAAAUCUAAUUUUACUAGACUUUAGCCUCUUAUGGGUCAUGUGGACAGGCCAUCUCUCUCGUAGCCAAGAGGGGCCUGAGUAGAUGCAGUUGGAUACGAGGUUUAGAGAUUCUAAUCUUAAAGCUAUUGGAUGGAUUGAUGAAUAAUGGAAACGAUAAUUGGUUUUUUUGAUUUAUUGUGAGCUCAACCCCCCUCCCCUCUCCACUAACUUGUCCAUGAAUUGCAGUUGGAUUCAGAUCUCAGGGUUUGUCCGUGAUAUACAAUUUGGAUGACUGAUAAUGUAAUAUAUGAUUUUAUUUAUUUUAUUGCAUUUUUAUUCCGUUUCUUUUUGCUGAUGGCCCCCUCCCCACCUGGAUGUUCCAUUGGUUUGUCUAUUGCAUGCAGUUGGAUCUCGUGUUUGGAGUCUUAUCUCAAAGCUAUUAAUGGAAGAUUAUCUAAUUUGUGAUUUUUAAUUCCAUAGUUCUAUUUCGUGCUAAUCACCCCCUCGCAACCUAGAUGGUAAAAAUGCAGUUGGAUAUGAGGUUUAGAGUCUUAUCUUAACAGUUGUGAUGGGCACAAACAUAAGGGGAAGAUAAUCUAAAUUGUGAGUUAUUUACUUCAUAGGACUUCUGUUCCCUUGUGUGCUAAUACCACGAUGUUUCAUUUUGUCUUGUGCUUUCUGAUCUGUCCUUGAUUUCGAUUCUCUGCUUGAAACAGACGUGGGUUUACUUACCGUUUGCAUUUUAAUGCUUCUAGAGUAAUUGGACUCAUUCAGGCAAUCUGUUUUUCCUUCUUACUGUUGAUUGUAGUUGUUUGUUAUGGGACUUGCUCGCCUUUUUUGCAGAACCUGUGGUAGUGGUAAAGUUGGCUGAAUUGGAAUGUAUGAUUAUGCAUCAAGGCCCUGGCAGUAUGUCUCGGUCUUUGCUGAAUGUGGUUUGUGUUCCAAAGCUCCGAAUUUAGAAAAUUCCACAAGUCUGUUCUACUUCCCUGCCAUUGAGUUUAGUUCUUCCGGUUUUGGGGUUUGCUCGGCUUUUUUUGCAGAACCUAGAUGGGAUCGGCCCUAUUAUAUGUUUACUGCUCUCCAUCGAUUCUCUGUCAUUGGUAUUUUCUGACCGUUCAUCAUCACUUCACUAACCAGCAUAUUUGAUGAAGGUGAAAUUCUGUUUGUAUUAUAUUGUCAGGCCGUUUGAAGGGUGUUAUCUCAGCUUUCGUCUUCUUAAUGGUUUGCCAAGAAUCGUUUAAUUGAACAUCCUCCAUUUGUUUAGUGAUUUCUGUUGUCAGCAGUUUGUUCGUUGGAGUUUUUGGGUUGUGUUUGUUAGACAUGUGUUGCUUUAAUUUCUGGAACUGGACUUGUGGUGACAUCUGGUGCUUUGAUCUAAUUCGAGUUGAUGUUUUGUGGCUUUGUUCUAAGAAGAUUUUUGACUCCUUACUGCAGAUUCUAAUCUUGGUUAUUAUAUUAUGGGGUUUGGGUUAACAUUUUGAAGGACUCUACAUAAUGUGAAGCAGUGAAACCAGCAAAGUAAGCUGUUGACCCUAUUCACGUUUCUUGGUUAACGAAUUUCUUGAAGAUACCAAAUAUUGGUCUGAACUGCUCUUUCUAUCACUCUACUUAUUUACAUCACUUUUUUGUAACCUUUCUGUUUUUUGGCUGCAAGUAUAAUGAUUUGUCUGUCCUAUUUCCGCCUAAACUGGUUUGAUUAAUUAUUAAUUAUAUCAUCAAAGAGCUGUUUUUGUUGCUAGCAGAUCACCCUUUUUCGGAUAUUAAUUACCCGAACCCUUUUUUCGGCCUUUAGAAGCAAAUUUUGAUAUCAUUCGUACGUGCCAAGAUUAGUUAAUAGGAAACACAAUCUCCCAAAAAGCACUGAUGAAAUUCUAUCUUAACUUUAUUACGCGGAAAAAAUAACAUGGAGAUUAUUGUAGUUCUUUCAGAAAUCCUAGUGAACUUUUUUCGGCCUUUGGAAGCAAAUUUUUAUAUCGUUCGUACUUGCCAAGAUUAGUUAUUAGGAAACACUGAUGAAAUCCUAGUUAACUUUAUUUUGCGAAAAAAAAAGCAUGGAGAUUAUAUAGUUCUCUAAAAAAUCCUAGUUAACUUUUCAAAUGUAUAAUCCAAUUACGUGUGGCUUCUUGAACUUUCUCUGCAUGUCCUCUGGUUUUUUUUGUGGCUUGUUUGGUUCUAUAUUUAUUGUUUAGUAAAAUAAGCUGUAUGUUCGAGUUUGUCUUCCUAGUACCUCCUAGAGUUCCGGGUUGCUGAGUUGAUGGUGUUAUGCUGGUUUCUCAAUUUUCUUAGCGGGAUUUAAGGUAAUCAUAAUACAUAUUUAUGGCUCUAUGGUCCUUUUAUAAUUGAAUAAUCUAUUUAUUAACUUUUCUAACUUGAGUAGGAUAAUUUAAACUAUAAUUUACAAUUUAUAAUUUAUGGAUGAUUAUCAGCUAGAUUUUGUUCUUUCUGCUAUAUAUAAUCAAUUUUAUAUGUUCGUCCUCUAGUUUUAUAGGAUUCUAGUGAUCCAGAUUUAUAUAAUUCAUAAAUUACAAAUUAUAAUGUACUGAUUUGAAUUUGAUUUUUUAUUUAAUAUUUUCAUAAACUUGCUGAAUAUAAAAUUUAUUUUCAAUAGUGGCAUUUUAAACCUGUUUCUUAAUUAACAUGCCAUCCUUGGUCCACUAGUUUCAAUCCCUUAGUCUUGAUGGGACUUACUUUUCUAAGUAAUCUAGUAAAAUUACAAUUUGGUAUUCUUUAACGUGCUUCUUCUGCAGAUCAAGUGACUAGUAUUCUUUAUUGUGGCCUUGAAGAUCUUUUUUGGGUUUUGAUCCAUGCUUUUCAAAUCUUGAUGCAUUAUGCAUCCAUGAGGAUUUGGGAUUUUUUCCUGACGAUUUUUCUACACAAUCAAAGUUGGCACUAUGCACGUCGGAAUGAAAAAAACUGGUUCAGUUGCCCAUGUUGGAUUUCGUACGCGUAGGAUUUGUUGAUGUUAUGAUCCAUUAGACUUAAUAUUGUUGUCAAGUGGCUGCUCGUAUUUUGUGAUUCUUAUGAGGAGACUUUAGAUUUGCUGCUCUGCUGUUUUGAGCAUGUUUAAAAUCUAUCGAAUAUGCUUCAUCGUGAUUUGUACUUGUAGUGCGUGAAAUUGUCUUUCGCAGAUUGUGAGUUAAUGUUUUUAUCUAACACUGGUAAUAUGUUAAAGUGCCGCAUUUUUCAAGACUCAGUGAGUUUAGUUGAUUAAGGUUUGUUUCUGCGUAAUUGUUAAGUAUUAGUUACCUUAUAUGAUAAAAUUUAUUUUCUCUUGGAUUUGUCUCUGAUACGACUUUGGUAAUAUUUUUCACAUAAGGUAUUUCCUUUAUCAGUAAUGUUUUCCACAAUAAUUAAAAGAAAAAGAGGGAAAUGAAUGAUUCAGAAGAGUAAGAAUGUUUUUACUAGUAAAGCUUUUAUCCCAUCUACUAACCUUUGUGAUUUUUAGCUGCUUAGUGAUUAACUAAAUUACUUAUCAAUUUGACCUACUUGUUUGCCCAGUUUGAAAAUUCAUAAAAACAAUGGUAUAUGAAUCAAAAUAUUUCUCAGCCUUAAUUAAUAUUUGUUGUCUCGAACGGUAUGUACAAUUUGCUUGCUUAUAUCUAUCUGUGAUUAUGUGUGUCUUUUAGUGUUGGUAGUUGUAUAUAGGUUUAUUCUUGUAACUCCGCCUGUGCUUGCAAUAUUUUAUUUGCUCAGCACAGCCGGUCCCAAGCCCGGGUAAAGGAGGAGGGCCGAGAAUAUGUUUUUCCAGUAUUACAAAGUAGUUUCCCAUAUUUCUAAAUUUUCGUUGGAAAUGGAUUGCGGCAUGCAUGAAAUGGAUGUUGCAAUCCAUUUCUAACGAAAAUUUAGAAAAAUGGGAAACUGAUUGAUGCGUGAUGUUCUGAAUCAUAGUAACUGUUGAAUACCAAUGUACGAGUGGAAUUACAACAAUUUGGCUGACUGUCUUAACGCUAUUCUUGUAGUUUAGGGCUUGUUGUUUUCUCGUAGUCUUUGUUUCCUUAGAUCUCGUUCUCUUUGUUUUUUUUUUCUUUCCUUUUUUUUUUCGUUUUCUUAACUUUUAGAUUCCAAAAACUUUGGAACUGGAAUUCAAAAUGGUUUUUUACUUCGGGAAAAAUACAACUUUGUUUUUAUUUAAUUUUUUUCGAAGAGGUCAAUUUCGAUCUGAUGCAUCUGCACCCAUAGUGUUUCCGUGUUUUCUCCUUCUCUAUUAAUAUAUAUGAAAAAAACAAAAGAAAAAUAACUACUCAGGUCUUUUUUCUGUUUCAUGAUUGAAUAGGUCUUUUUGGUUUGAUGGAUGGAUAAGGGGUGAUUGCAAUAUAAUCGCUCAUAAUGUGGGUGUAUUUACAUGAAAACUUGAUUUAAAAAUAAAAAAUUCUAAUUCUUAAUUCCUAUCUCAUAAUGUGGGUGUAUUUACAUGAAAACUUGAUUUAAAAAUAAAAAAUUCUAAUUCUUAAUUCCUAUCGCAAUUUUUUUUUAGGAUAAAAUGACGAUGUAUUAGACUAAAUGCGUCAGUUCAAGGGGUAAAGAAGAACCCUCAUUACACUAGUCACUAAAUCCAGUAGCUAGCCCAUGGGCCAACAUAUUGCCGCUGCGUUUAACAAAAGAAAAAUCGCAUAAUAAUAAAGAACUAGCAAUGCGUAAAAUGUCUUCAAUGAAAACUCCAAACGACGAGAGAGAAGAUUCUCUUGCUUUAAGAACCUUGAUAACUUGUAAGCAGUCACCUUCUAAAAUGAUCGAGUGCCAUCCGUGAUGUCGUGCUUGGUUGAUAGCUGUCAAAGCCGCGUGAGCCUCGCAAUCCUCCACGGUCGGCCUACCUUUGAACUUGCGGACCGCCCACCAAAUGCAUACCCCACGCGAAUCCCGUGCAACUAUUCGCGAGCCCUAGAAUUGCGACUACAAGAUUUUUUUUUUUUUUUUCCUUGAAAGAACGAUUGUGAGAUUUUUGCAAGCCCUAGAAUUCGUGACUAUGAGAUUUCAUGUCUUCCGUUCCUAUAUCUUUACAUAUCUUAUGGUUUUGUGACAUCACAUUGCACAAUUUUGUUCGUUUCAUCAUGCAAAAAACUUUUAAAAGUUCAGAAACACUACAUCUUGGUCGAUUUUCUACGACGUAAUUCUCUUAAUCUUAGAUUAGUGUGGAUUUAUGUUCGAGAAUCAAUGGUGUAAAUCAGCAUAUUUAUGAUGUUUGUGAACCUAAUGUAUAGAUCCUUUUUUCCGAAGAUGGACGAGCUAGAUAGGCACGAACUUCUAGAGCAUUAGAUGUAGGAUCACGAGACGUAACUCUUCGACGAAUUUCUUCCCUUUGAAUAGUUGCACACACUCUUCAAAGAUGGAAGUUCUGCAUUCAUCAGAAUAUGGCUCCUAAAGUCCUCAAAAUUAAGACUAAGGCUGGUUAACAAUUGAAACCCAAUCAACCUCUAUUCGUUUCCUCAAAAUGACUGGAUCAAUCGUUAGAGGUCGAUAAAUUUCUAACUCAUUACACAAACUUUUUAGACUGCCCAAUAGACUCACAAACGGUUUAUCAUCUUGAUGAAUGUUGGCAAUAUCUUGUUGAAUCUGGAAGAUUUUGGCAGAAUUGUUUCGAUUCCCAUACAUGUCACGAACAACUUCCCAUGGAUCCAAUGAGGACUCCGAAUAACUAAGGAUUUCAGCAAGAUGACUCUCCAUUGAGUUGAGGAUUAGAGACAUAACCAUUUGAUCCUUUUGUAGCCAAGCAUCGUAAUCUGGCGAACUACAAUCUGAAGAUUUUUCCUUGUCAUUGAUGAACAAAAAGAAUUUUAUUAAAAUUAAAAGUCAGCAAAAAUGAUAAAUGCGGGUCCAAAAAUGCUAAAUGCAGUUGGUGGAAAUGUUGAAUGGAAGUGGGCAAAGAUUGCACAUAAGGGCACAAUUAUAAUUUUGCCUCCUCGGGGUAUCUUAAAGAAAGAAUUUUAGGGAUGGACCUACAGCCCUAUAUAUUUUCCAUAUUAGGGAUGUAUAUCACAUGACCCCUAUUAUGAUGUGGUUUUUUUUAAUUUUUAUUUUUUUGAGCGGAAAUUUAGUAGCUAUGAGUUUUACGUUUAUCGACGUGGAUAUUCUUAUUUUUUGAAAAUUAUGAAAUUUUUCAGAAGAUUUCCGCUAUGUUUUUAUUUUAUUUUAAAUCUUAUGUGAUUUUCGAUUUUUUCCGAAAUUCCAAAAUUUUGAGACCUUUUGGAAUUGGAAUUAAUUUUUAAAUUCCAAAAAUUUUAUAAUUGGAUUUCAUGAUAGAUAUAUUAAAUUAAUUAAAUGGGUCAUUUGAUAUAUACCCCUAAUAUGAAAAAUAUAUAGGGCAAGGUCCACCUACCCCUAAAAUUAUUUCUAUGAGAUACCCUCCUGGAGAGGCAAAAGUACUAUUGUGCCCUUAUGUGCAAUUUUCGCCCAAGUGCAUUCAUCAUUUCCACCAACUACAUUUAGCAUUUUUGACUUGCAUUUAUCAUUUUCGUUGAUUUUAAUUUUAAUAAAAAAUAUUGUUUUUAUUCCUAUAUAUAUUACUUUUAUUAUUAUUAUUGUAUUUUUUAAUCUUUCAAUUUUUUUUAAUUUAUAUAUAUAUAUAUAUAUAUAUAUAUAUAUAUAUUAUAAAUUUACUGUACUGGAAUCGCUACACAUGACUAUAGUGUACUACAAGUUCUAUAGUCAUCUAUAGUUACCUGACUAUAGCAUACUACAAGUUCUAUAGUCAUGUACAUUUAUAUUUAGUCGUGUACUGUCUUUUUACCCAAAAGUUAUGAUCGACUGAUUAUGUAGACUGCUGAUUUUAUAAAAAAAGAAUUUCAUCUACAACAAAAACAAAAUUCACAAUUUGAAUCUUAAUAUUGCAAAUCAAUUAGUACCAAAAAAUAAAUUGGAAAAACAUAAUGAUCAACGUCACUAUACAUGAGGAAAAAACACAGAGCUUAUAUAUAAUAGCUUAUACAUAACUAUAUGUUACACAUCUAACUACACGUGACUAUAUAUGUCUGCAUGUUUAUGAACACAUGUGACUAUUUAUGACCACAUAUGACUAUAUAUGACUUCAUACCACAAAUCUCUCCAACACUUGAACAAAUAUAGCCAAGUUCCGAUCGGGAAAGCAUUCAGCAAUUGCAUUACAUGUGCUCUUACUCGAAAAAAACCCAAUCAGAAAUAGAAAUUGGUGAGUAACACGGUAAACAAAUUUAUUUAAACAAAGCACGAUUCACACGAGCCUAUGGCAAAAUAUUAUUAAACCUUUUGCAUCCAAAUAAAUGGAAGAAGAAGGGCUACAAAAGCUUCUAUAAUCAUUUUAUGUUAUGUGUGCCUGUGUAAUCUUUUAUUAGAUUUAUAUAUACAUAUUUGUAUUUAAUAUAUAUUAUUUGUGUGAAGAGUAUAUGCUGGUGAUGUUUAUGUAUAUCAGUAGGGUAGGUGAUAGUGUGUGUGUGUGUGCAGAUUUAAAUUUGAAGCAAAAUUCGUUGUUUAUUUAACUCAUUUUCUUUUUCGCAGGUUUUGGUGUUUGAACUACUAUGUAGUAAGUUUUUGCGGAGUCAACAUUGUGUUCAUCGUUCAAAACAAGCCGUUCUCGUGUUGUAGAUCUAAACUUGUAACAACUCGUGUUUCAUUACUGAGAAUCGAUAGAUCAAAAUAGGAUCAAAUGGAUGUGAUUUCUCUUCUGUGUUCUAUCUUUCUGUAAUCGAGCCGAUGAAAAAUAUUUGUGCACGAAUUCACAGGAAUUUAUAUGUACCAACCAUACAUAUAGAUUUAUGUUCUGCACAUGUAUAUACGUAUUAUAUUAUAUAGUUUAUAUUCACACAAAAACACACAACACCACACAUAAACCCACCAACAUACACAUAGCCAACAAACACAUACGCUGACUUCACACUGCAUCACAAUGCAGACGCAAUUUUAGAACUACUUUUCUCAAAUUGAAUUACAUAAUUCAAUUACCUCAAUCGAGCCAUAUAUCCUCAGAUUGCACACACAAUUUUAGAACUACUUUUCUCAAAUUGAAUUACAUAGUUCAAUUACCUCAAUCGAGCCCUAUAUCCUCAGGUUUCCACUAUGGUUUUCCUAAGUUCUAAUAGAUGUCGAUGAUUUCAUCUUCAACGGUGAAAACCCUAGUCUUCCUCGUUUUCAGAAACCGGCAUGCUUCACAAUUUUGCAUAACAACCGUCGCCGACGAUUUAAGCCGUCACACCCAAGCCUCUGCCGCGCGUCACCACCCGACAUUUGAGGUGCUUCUUCUUCCUCUUCUUUGUCGGUGCUAAAUCUAACGAGGAAGAGGGAGAGACGAAGAGACGAGGGACAGAUGUAAACGGCGGUUUGUGUGUGAGACGUGCGAGUGGAAGAGAGAGAAACUUAAAGUGUUAGGGCAUGUAUUGACUUGAAACUAAAGUGAAAAAUAGAUACUUCAAUUUGUCCAAGGGUCUGCCUAAUUCAAACUAGGAGUUUUUGACUAAGACAGAAAAAUCAAUAGAACUUUCUCAUAUAUAUUUUCAAAUAUAAGUGGUAUCACUCAUUUGCCCAUAAUUAAAUAAUUAUAUUAUGUUUUAUAUCUUAGUAAUUCGACAAAUUUAGAAUCCAUCUGGAAAGUCAACUAAAACCCAUUGUAUUAAAACACAUCCGAUGAUAAAAUUAUCUUGAUUUGUUGAACAAAUUGCAUACUUAUCAUGGGAAUAGGGGUAAAAAUCGGAUGUAUCGGAUUGAAAUUAGCCUUCUCGGGCAACGGCAAUAAUAAUAACAAUAAUAAUAACACUUACACUAACAAUAACAAUAAUAUAAAAUAUAAGAGACAAGAUCUAAGAAAACAAAGACUGCGAGAAAAUUAUGAAGCCCAAAACUUGAAAACCAUUUCAUGAACAUCCAUUUCAUGCAUGUUGCUAAGACUAAAAUUCCAUUUCUAACAAAAAAAUUACGAACCAACCCUCAUUAGGAGAGUUGGUAUCUAGCCUUUACCGAUAGGGUAAAGGUCUAGGGUUCGCGUCCCUCUCUCCCCUACUUCAUCUUGUAAUGGACUUGAAUUUACUAAAAAGAAAAACAAAAAAUUAGGGAAAUGGGAAACUAUUAUACUAUAUAUCCAUUAGCACCAUUACGUAUGGACUAAGUUUGAUAGACAAGUGCCUUCUUCUCCUUUUACGAAUCUUAUUUGCCUCAUGACAAAGCUUAUUUCCAAUUUGUAAUGUAUACAUGUACAUCGUGAAUGAAAAAUGUACAGAGCUUUCAUUUCACAAUUCAUCAUCUUUCUCCUCCCGUUUAAUCUAUAUCGUUAUUUUAUUUUGUGCACCCACAAUAUAUAAUAGUUUAUUCUAUAACACGUUAUCGGCACGAGGUUUUGCUCGAUUAGGGAUUUGCUAUUUUCGUAUUUUUCUUUCUAUUUUGUUUUACAAAAUCCAGAUCCUUAAUUUAUUGUUGAAAAGACAAACGAGAAUGAUUAGCAAAUACUUCGGUAUUUUAUACGCAAUCAUUUCUCAAAGGAUAUGAUGGAUUCGUAUAUAUACGUAUAUAGCUCAUAUAUAUGUUGAAUUGCUGCUGAAAUUUAUAUUUGCAAGCUUGUGGAUCCCAAGCAGUGCUAUAAGCACGUGCUAAUUUUAACAGAUCUGUGGGCCGACUUAGAGGCCAAGUAAUAUAACUCCGAGUCUAAACUCGUUGAGCCUAGAAAGCCGAUUUAGAGGCUAAUUCAUAAAUAUAACUCCGAGCCUAAAGCUCGUUGAGUCGAGACGUGAUAAUAUCCGUCAAAAGCCGAUUUAAAGGCCAAAUAUCUGAAAAUAUCUCCGUGUCUGAAGCUCGUAGAGUCGCUAGACGAGGUAAAACCCCUCUAGAGCCAACUUAGAGGCUAUUAAUCACAAGUCCAUAUUUAAGGGUUUUGGGUUAUUUUGUACCUACUGUAUAUAAAUCUUUCUUGGAAGGUGUGAUUCCCAAGAUUGAGUUGUUUUGAAUAAACCCACAUGUACAUAUCUCCCUUGGAGGAUAAAUACCCGAGGUCGAGCUGAUUUUGAUACGCGUACAUGAAAAACAUGGACACAUAUGACUAUUGCCUACUCGAUAGUGCAACUACACACUCAAUAUUCAAUAAUAAAAUAUAUUUCUCGAGUGUGACUUUGUGCAAGGCACAAGUUAAAAUCAUAGCGGGUUCCGCAGAAAUAUAGAUGGCUCCGGGAACGCAACAAUUGUGUUGCCUAAUGGUACCACUUUGCAUAUUGAAAAUGCAUUGAUAUCCGGUAGAUCAAACAAGAAUCUACUGAGUUUUAAAGAUGUGAGACGCAAUGGGUAUCAUUUAGAGACACAGGUUGAAAAUAUUGUGGAGUGCCUAUGCGUCACAUCAUAUGUCAUGGACAAAAGAAUUGUUCAUGAGAAGUUCGAAGCGACAGCUUCUAGACUGUAUUGUGUCCAAAUUCGAGCUUUCGAAUCCUACGCCACUAUGCUAUGGAAACUUGUUAAUCCCGAUAUACACGGGGCAUGGCAUGAUCGACUGGGUCACCCAGGAACGACUAUGAUGCGUAGGAUUGCACAACACACUAGAGGACAUCCAUUAAAAGAUACAAAAAUCUUGAUGUCCAAUGAAUAUUUAUGUGAAUCAUGUUCACAAGGAAAGCUCAUUAUAAAACCUUCCAUUGAAGAGGUCGGUUAUGAAUCACCAUCGUUUUUACAAUGCAUGCAUGGUGAUCUUGAUGUCCAGCAAGUGGGCCAUUUAGAUAUUUUAUGAUUUUAGUGGACGCAUCUUGUAGAUGGUCCCACGUAUGCUUAUUAUCUACGCGAAAUGUUGCAUUUGCGCGUUUGCUAGCACAAAUUAUUAAACUCCGAGCACAUUUCCCUUAUUAUCCCAUUAAAAACAUAAGAAUGGAUAAUGCCGUAGAAUUUACAUCAAAAAGUUUUGAUGAGUACUGUGCAGCACUGGGAAUAAAUGUCGAGCACCCAGUAGCGUUCACACUCAAAAUGGACUGGCGGAAUCUCUGAUUAAACGCGUCCAAAUAAUUGCUCGUACUUUGCUGAUGAGAUCUAAACUCACUAGUGCAGCAUGGGGCCAUGCAGUAUUGCAUGCAUCAGCACUGAUUAAAUUACGCCCCACUGCUUAUCAUAUGCAUUCCCCAAUGCAAUUGGCAUUAGGCUUUGAGCCCGAUAUUUCGCACCUUCGUACAUUUGGUUGCGCUGUGCAAGUGCCAAUUCCUCCUCCUGAGAGGACUAAAAUGGGUCCCCAACGCCGACUUGGCAUAUACGUUGGGUUUGAUUCACCGUCGAUUAUUAGGUUCUUGGAACCAAUGACGGGUGAUUUAUUUACCGCUAGAUUUUCGGAUUAUCAUUUUGAUGAGACAUUAUUUAUGCCGAUUGGUAAGGAUAUUCAGAAUAUCCGUGAUAAUGAUAAACAAAAACCAAUCGAGAAUAUCACAUGGUGUGAGCAACAUUUAUCUCAUCUAGACCCACGUACCUCUGAAUGUGAAAAUGAGAUUCAUAUAAUCAUUCAUUUACAAAAUCUUGCUAAUAAACUUCCUGAUGCAUUUAAUGACGCCAGUAAAGUCACAAAAUCUUAUAUUCCAGUUGUGAAUGUGCCAGCUAGGAUCGUUGUUCCUGAAGAACAUGCGAAAAUGAAUGAUGAUCCCCCACGGCAAAAAAGGGGUAGACCUAUUGGAUCAAAGGACAUUGUUCCUAGAAAAAGAAAGGGGGAAAUCGAUGAAUCCUCCAACCUAGUGGUUCCUAGUGAGAAUGCUAGAUGAAUCUGUUGAGCCUAAUAUCGAAAAAAUGAUAUCAAAUCGCGGGAAUACCGAGAAUCCCAUAAGUUAUUCCAAUGAAAUAUGGGAUAGAAAUGAGAUAAUCAUCGAUAAAUUUUUUGCAUUCUCGGUUGCACAAGAAAUUAUGUACGAUAAUUAUGAUAGUGAACCGCGUUCCAUAAUGGAAUGCCGCCAAAGAAACGAUUGGCCUAAGUGUGAAGAAGCAAUAAAAUCUGAAUUGAGUUCCUUAGAAAAACGGAAAGUAUUUGGGCAAAUUGUUCGAACUCGGGAUAAUGUAAAGCCCGUUGGGUAUAAAUGGGUAUUUGUCCGUAAGAGAAACGAGAAUGAUGAAAUUGUACGAUAUAAAGCCCGCCUUGUAGCUCAAGGCUUUUCCCAGCGGUUUGGGAUUGAUUAUGAUGAGACGUAUUCACCAGUGAUCGAUACGAUCACUUUUCGUUUCCUUAUAAAUAUGGUCGUCCAAGAGGGACUGGAUAUGCGUCUAAUGGAUGUUAUAACAGCCUAUCUAUAUAGUUCACUAGAUUCUGAUAUUUAUAUGAAAAUUUUCGAUGGAUUUAAAAUGCCAAACUCUUGCGCUCCUCGUGAGCUGCACUCAAUCAAAUUACAAAGAUCAUUGUAUGGCCUAAAGCAAUACGGUCGCAUGUGGUAUCAUAGAUUGAGUGAAUAUCUUAUCAAGGAAGAUUAAAAAAAUGACCCUAUUUGCCCAUGCGUUUUUAUUAAAAGAUCAGAAAUCGGAUUUGCUAUCAUUGCAGUUUAUGUAGAUGACAUGAACCUGAUUGGCACUCCUGAAGAGUUGGUCAAUGCUACUGAAUACUUAAAGAAAGAGUUUGAGGUCAAAGACAUUGGAAAAACCAAAAUUUGUCUUGGAAUAUAGCUUGAGCAUAAAAAUAACGGCAUACUUAUACACCAAUCUGCAUAUACUAAACGAUUGCUCAAAAGAUUUAAUAUGGAAAAUGCUAAUCCAUUGAGCUCCCCUAUGAUUGUGCGCAAUUCAGAUCCUAAGAAGGAUCCGUUCAGACCUAAAGAAAUGAUAUCAUAUCCCGGGAAUACCGAGAAUCCCAUAAGUUAUUCCAAUGAAAUAUGGGAUAGAAAUGAGAUAAUCAUCGAUAAUAUUUUUGCAUUCUCGGUUGCACAAUAAAUUAUGUACGAUGAUUAUGAUAGUGAACCGCGUUCCAUAAUGGAAUGCCGCCAAAGAAACGAUUGGCCUAAGUGUGAAGAAGCAAUAAAAUAUGAAUUUGCUUCCUUAGAAAAACGGAAAGUAUUGGGGCAAAUUGUUCGAACUCCGGAUAAUGUAAAGCCCGUUAGGUAUAAAUGGGUAUUUGUCCGUAAGAGAAACAAGAAUGAUGAAAUUGUAUGAUAUAAAGCCCGCCUUGUAGCUCAAGGCUUUUCCCAGCGGCCUGGGAUUGAUUAUGAUGAGACGUAUUCACCAGUGAUCGAUACGAUCACUUUUCGUUUCCUUAUAAAUAUGGUCGUCCAAGAGGGAUUGGACAUGCGUCUAAUGGACGUUGUAACAGCCUAUCUAUAUGGUUCACUAGAUUCUGAUAUUUAUAUGAAAUUUCCGAUGGACUUAAAAUGCCAAACUCUUGCGCUCCUCGUGAGCUGCACUCAAUCAAAUUACAAAGAUCAUUGUAUGGUCUAAAGCAAUACGGUCGCAUGUAGUAUCAUAGAUUGAGUGAAUACCUUAUCAGGGAAGAUUAAAAAAAUGACCCUAUUUGCCCAUGCGUUUUUAUUAAAAGAUCAGGAACCGAAUUUGCUAUCAUUGCAGUUUAUGUAGAUGACAUGAACCUGAUUGGCACUCCUGGAGAGUUGGUCAAUGCUACUGAAUACUUAAAGAAAGAGUUUGAGGUCAAAGACCUUGGAAAAACCAAACUUUGUCUUGGAAUAGAGCUUGAGCAUAAAAAUAACGACAUACUUAUACACCAACAUAUACUAAACGAUUACUCAAAAGAUUUAAUAUGGAAAAUGUUAAUGCAUUGAGCACCCCUAUGAUUGUACGCAAUUUAGAUCCUAAAAAGGAUCAGUUCAGACCUAAAGAAUUCAAUGAGGAGAUACUUAGCCCAGAAGUGCCAUAUCUCAAUGCUAUUGGAGCGUCAAUGUAUUUAGCACAAUGUACUCGACCUGAUAUCGCUUUUGCGGUAAAUGUGCUUGCGAGAUACAGUUCUGAGCCAACCCGGAGACACUGGAAUGGUGUUAAACAUAUUUUUCGUUAUCUCCGUGGUACUGCGGAUUUGGGAUUAUUCUAUUCAAAAAAUAAAACUAUCCAAUGGUUAGUUGGUUAUGCCGAUGUGAGAUAUAGAUCUGAUCCGCACAAAGCUCGCUCACAAACUGGAUAUUUGUUUUGUUAUAAUGGUACAUGAAUAUCUUGGCGAUCUACCAACCACACAUUAGUGGCAACCUCCUCAAAUCAUUCAGAAAUAAUUGCACUUUAUGAGGGUGGCAGAGAAUAUGUUUGGUUAAGAUCACUCAUUUCACAUAUACGAAAUUCUUGUUAAUUUAAUCCAGUUACAAAUACGCCCACUAUCAUUUAUGAAGAUAAUGCUGCUUGCUUAGCACAAACAAGAGGCGGAUAUAUAAAGGGUAAUAGGACCAAGCAUAUAGCACCAAAAUUCUUUCAUACACACGAGCUUCAGAAGAAUGGAGAAAUUGAUGUCCAACAAAUUCGCUCGUGUGACAAUCUUGCUGAUUUAUUUACAAAGUCCUUACCGAUAUCUACUUUUGAGAAAUUGGUAUACUCCAUUGGAAUGAGAAGAGCCAAUGUGAGGCAAGAUUUACGCCCCAUCUCAGAAAUUAUAUUGCUCAUUUCAGGGGAGCAAUGAUGCACUGCACUCUUUUUUCCUUAUGACUGGUUUUGUCCCACAGGGUUUUCCAGUAAAGAUUUUUGACAAGGCAGCUUAUGCACACAGCUAGAUUUGAGACGCUACAAAUUAGUGCUACAUCUAAGGGGGAGUUUUAUCAGAAGUAGACUUCCGCACUAAGUUUUGUAUUGAUGACUAAUCUUCUAGUAAUACGUGUCAAUACAUGAGAUAAUUUAUAUCUUGUUUGAUGAAUGUGCAGUGUAAAAUUUGAUGUAUAAAUAGAUGGCUUUUAUUAAUGAAAUAUUAUAUCAUCUUUCUUUGCGGAUCAAUACAUCUUCCAUAAUACAAUAAUGUAUAUUAUAUAAUAUUACUUUGAAUGCUUUCAACAUUACGCAGUUCAAUUCAUGAAUAUAGCGUCUGUCUUCAUCUUUUCAAUUACUUAAAAUUCUUAAGGGAAUUGUUUUUUGCGGUUUGAAAAUUGCUAUUUGCGGUUUAUAACAAAACCCCUCAAAAAAAUACUUUAUUUCACUAAAACCCCAAAACUUCCCAAAUUAAUCCAAAAACCCCCUCAAAACGCGUAAAAGCCCAGCUUGGGCGCCCAUUCAUGCAGUGCACGCCCAAGUUGGGCGUGCAAGCUGCAUUUGGGCGCCCGAGUUGGGCGUCCAGUGCAAAAAUGUUUUUUUUUUUAUUUAUUUUUUUUUUUUUUAUUUUUUUUUUAAUGUUCGAACGCCCAUCUUGGGCGUUCGAACAUUUUUUUGCGAAAAAAAAAGCCCUACAAAUGGAACGGGCGUUCGUACACGCCUUGGGCGCCCAUCUUGGGCGUUCGAACAUUUUUUUGCGAAAAAAAAAGCCCUACAAAUCGAUUUGUAGGGCUUUUUAGCAUAAAAUUGGUUCCGUAAUCGACCUACCCAAUGCAUAUUACACAUAAAAGAGUCGAAAUUACAUCAAAAAAUCGAAGCCCAACCCUUCUUCAAGCUUGAUUUCGAAUUUUCGAUUUUGUUUUUUUUUUUUUUUGCUAUUUGCAGUUUUGGGGGGUUUUUUGAUAUUUUUAAAAGUUUUGGGGGAUUUUGUUAUAAACCGCGAAUAGCAAUUUUGUGACCGCAAAUAGCAUUUCAUAAUUCUUAAUUAUAUUAUACUAUAUAUUUUACAACAAAAACCAUAUUAUUAAUGUUUUUACUGUUAAAUUUUCUCGGCCCUCCUCCUUUACCCGGGCUUGGGACCGGCUGUGCCGAGCAAAUAAAAUAUUGCAGGCACAGGCGGAGUUACAAGAAUAAACCUAUAUACAACUACCAACACUAAAAGACACACAUAAUCACAGAUAGAUAUAAGCAAGCAAAUUGUACAUACCGUUCGAGACAACAAAUAUUAAAACUGAGAAAUAGUUUGAUUCAUAUCCGAUAGUAGAUUGGAUGAAAGCUUAGUUACUUGUAAAAACUUUUGUACUCAUUUCAAUCGUUCAUUUCCCUUUUCUUUCUUCUAAUUAUUGUGGAGAACAUUAGAGAUAAAGGAAACACCUCAUGCGAAAAAAAUUACCAAAGUCGUAUCCAAGAGGACAUAAAUUUUAUCAAAUAAGGUAAACUAAUACUUACAUGUUUACGCAGAAACAAACCUUAAAUCAAAUAAAUUCACUGAGACUUGAAAAAAAUGCAUCACUUUAGCAUAUUAGCAGUGUUAGAUAAGAGCAUUAACUCACAAUCUGCAAAAAGACAAUUUCACGCACUUGAAAAUUCUCACAUAGUAGAAAUCACGAUGAAGAACUGACUAAGAACUGUGCAGAAUGGUAUUCCAAAAAGCAUAUUCAAUAGAUUUUAAACAUCGUCAAAAUAGCAGAGCAGCAAACCUAAUAUCUCCUCAUAAGAAUCACAACAUGCGAGCAGAAACCGAGGCCCUAACAGUCAACUUCAAAUACUACUUGGCAACUGAACGAGGUUUAUUAUUCUGAGAUGAAUAGUGCCAACUUAGCUUGUGUAGAAAAAUUGCCAGGAAGAAAAAACCGAAUCUUCAUAGAUGCAUAAUAUACACGAACCUUAACUUGCUCAAUGCAUAUAAAACCACUCGAAGAUUUGACAAGCAUCGAUCAAAAACAAAGAGAUCUUCAAGGCCACAAUAAAGAAUACUACUCACUUGAUCAGCAUAAGCAGCACGUUCCACACUGCAUUAUCUGCCCAACUAAAAGCACAAACAAUUCCAGUGCAGAAUAACAGAAAACCCGAUAGAAAUAACAUCCCAACACUUUUACGACUGCUUUCAAAAUCUAAGGCAAGAAACAAAACUCGGUGCAGAAACCUUGUCAAGAAACCAAAGAACACCAUACAUGAAGACACAAGGCGGGGUCUUAUUGCAAGUCAUGAUCUCAUAUUUUGUAGUGAAGUACACGAGUCAAGUUAAUAUUAUAAAACACUCUCCAGGAAUCACAUAAAUUCAUGAUAGGGAUUAACUGAAGACUACCAAAGAAAAAUAAAGUAAAUAAAAAAUCACAGCUCCGAAAAAGCGAGCCACCCAAAGAUAAAAAGUUAAUAACCAACAAGAAAAAGAAGAGUCAAAAUUCUC
This 30197-nucleotide long non-coding RNA is filed under the name Erythranthe guttata (spotted monkey flower). The record is from RNAcentral. Lineage: Eukaryota; Viridiplantae; Streptophyta; Magnoliopsida; Lamiales; Phrymaceae.